Molecule: long non-coding RNA, 317 nt
Filed under: Polistes fuscatus (common paper wasp)
Lineage: Eukaryota; Metazoa; Arthropoda; Insecta; Hymenoptera; Vespidae
Description: uncharacterized LOC122517961
Source: RNAcentral
UAGUACAUCGCACACCUGCAUCCUUUGCGAACGAGUCGAACACCCGUUGUACCGCUGUCCUAAAUAUAACGACAUGACGAUAACCAACAAAUGGGAGUGGCAAACCAUUUCCAAUGAUACUUAAAGUGAGACGACAGCGGGAAUUUCCUGGAUGCACACUCUACAACCGAUAAGGAGACUCGAAUCGAAACCGUAAAAACCAUACGAGAAAACAAUCAAACGCAGCGAUUGUUUAUAUUUUAUUCAAUAAUUUUAAAUGUACUCUGUUGUAUAUGUUAACUGCAAACUCGACACCUCAGAUAAAUUCAUAACUAUCA